This 1045-nucleotide ribosomal RNA is filed under the name Staphylococcus aureus. Its description in RNAcentral is "partial 23S ribosomal RNA". It matches the Rfam family "Bacterial large subunit ribosomal RNA", at positions 700 to 1745 of the family's 2925-position model. Lineage: Bacteria; Bacillati; Bacillota; Bacilli; Caryophanales; Staphylococcaceae. The record is from RNAcentral.
UAUUUGGUCGUAGACCCGAAACCAGGUGAUCUACCCUUGGUCAGGUUGAAGUUCAGGUAACACUGAAUGGAGGACCGAACCGACUUACGUUGAAAAGUGAGCGGAUGAACUGAGGGUAGCGGAGAAAUUCCAAUCGAACCUGGAGAUAGCUGGUUCUCUCCGAAAUAGCUUUAGGGCUAGCCUCAAGUGAUGAUUAUUGGAGGUAGAGCACUGUUUGGACGAGGGGCCCCUCUCGGGUUACCGAAUUCAGACAAACUCCGAAUGCCAAUUAAUUUAACUUGGGAGUCAGAACAUGGGUGAUAAGGUCCGUGUUCGAAAGGGAAACAGCCCAGACCACCAGCUAAGGUCCCAAAAUAUAUGUUAAGUGGAAAAGGAUGUGGCGUUGCCCAGACAACUAGGAUGUUGGCUUAGAAGCAGCCAUCAUUUAAAGAGUGCGUAAUAGCUCACUAGUCGAGUGACACUGCGCCGAAAAUGUACCGGGGCUAAACAUAUUACCGAAGCUGUGGAUUGUCCUUUGGACAAUGGUAGGAGAGCGUUCUAAGGGCGUUGAAGCAUGAUCGUAAGGACAUGUGGAGCGCUUAGAAGUGAGAAUGCCGGUGUGAGUAGCGAAAGACGGGUGAGAAUCCCGUCCACCGAUUGACUAAGGUUUCCAGAGGAAGGCUCGUCCGCUCUGGGUUAGUCGGGUCCUAAGCUGAGGCCGACAGGCGUAGGCGAUGGAUAACAGGUUGAUAUUCCUGUACCACCUAUAAUCGUUUUAAUCGAUGGGGGGACGCAGUAGGAUAGGCGAAGCGUGCGAUUGGAUUGCACGUCUAAGCAGUAAGGCUGAGUAUUAGGCAAAUCCGGUACUCAUUAAGGCUGAGCUGUGAUGGGGAGAAGACAUUGUGUCUUCGAGUCGUUGAUUUCACACUGCCGAGAAAAGCCUCUAGAUAGAAAAUAGGUGCCCGUACCGCAAACCGACACAGGUAGUCAAGAUGAGAAUUCUAAGGUGAGCGAGCGAACUCUCGUUAAGGAACUCGGCAAAAUGACCCCGUAACUUCGGGAGAAG